RNAcentral lists this ribosomal RNA (580 nucleotides) under Staphylococcus aureus. RNAcentral describes it as "partial 23S ribosomal RNA". It matches the Rfam family "Bacterial large subunit ribosomal RNA", at positions 402 to 984 of the family's 2925-position model. The record is from RNAcentral. Lineage: Bacteria; Bacillati; Bacillota; Bacilli; Caryophanales; Staphylococcaceae.
UGGAUCCUGAGUACGACGGAGCACGUGAAAUUCCGUCGGAAUCUGGGAGGACCAUCUCCUAAGGCUAAAUACUCUCUAGUGACCGAUAGUGAACCAGUACCGUGAGGGAAAGGUGAAAAGCACCCCGGAAGGGGAGUGAAAUAGAACCUGAAACCGUGUGCUUACAAGUAGUCAGAGCCCGUUAAUGGGUGAUGGCGUGCCUUUUGUAGAAUGAACCGGCGAGUUACGAUUUGAUGCAAGGUUAAGCAGUAAAUGUGGAGCCGUAGCGAAAGCGAGUCUGAAUAGGGCGUUUAGUAUUUGGUCGUAGACCCGAAACCAGGUGAUCUACCCUUGGUCAGGUUGAAGUUCAGGUAACACUGAAUGGAGGACCGAACCGACUUACGUUGAAAAGUGAGCGGAUGAACUGAGGGUAGCGGAGAAAUUCCAAUCGAACCUGGAGAUAGCUGGUUCUCUCCGAAAUAGCUUUAGGGCUAGCCUCAAGUGAUGAUUAUUGGAGGUAGAGCACUGUUUGGACGAGGGGCCCCUCUCGGGUUACCGAAUUCAGACAAACUCCGAAUGCCAAUUAAUUUAACUUGGGAGU